GAAAUGCGAUAAGUAGUGUGAAUUGCAGAAUUCAGUGAAUCAUCGAAUCUUUGAACGCACAUUGCGCCCCUCGGCAUUCCGUGGGGCAGGCCUGUUCGAGCGUCAUCUACACCCUCAAGCUCUGCUUGGUGUUGGGCGUCUGUCCCGCCUCCGCGCGCGGACUCGCCCCAAAUGCAUUGGCAGCGGUUCCUUGCCCCCCUCUUUGCGCAGCACAUUGCCAUUCGAGGCGGCGGCGGCCCGCGUCCAACAAGCUCAACCCCCCCGUCUUUGACCUCGGAUCAGGUAGGGAUACCCGCUGAACUUAAGC
Molecule: unclassified non-coding RNA, 307 nt
Filed under: plant metagenome
Description: partial contains 5.8S ribosomal RNA, internal transcribed spacer 2, and large subunit ribosomal RNA
Rfam family: 5.8S ribosomal RNA (bases 1-105)
Source: RNAcentral